ACGGGAGGCAGCAGUGGGGAAUAUUGCACAAUGGGGGAAACCCUGAUGCAGCGACGCCGCGUGAGUGAAGAAGUAUUUCGGUAUGUAAAGCUCUAUCAGCAAGGAAGAAAAUGACGGUACUUGACUAAGAAGCUCCGGCUAAAUACGUGCCAGCAGCCGCGGUAAUACGUAUGGAGCAAGCGUUAUCCGGAUUUACUGGGUGUAAAGGGAGCGUAGACGGCAAAGCAAGUCCGAAGUGAAAUCCCGGGGCUCAACCCCGGAACUGCUUUGGAAACUGUUUAGCUAGAGUGCAGGAGAGGUAAGCGGAAUUCCUAGUGUAGCGGUGAAAUGCGUAGAUAUUAGGAGGAACACCAGUGGCGAAGGCGGCUUACUGGACUGUAACUGACGUUGAGGCUCGAAAGCGUGGGGAGCAAACAGGAUUAGAUACCCUGGUA
Molecule: ribosomal RNA, 434 nt
Filed under: uncultured Lachnospiraceae bacterium
Lineage: Bacteria; Bacillati; Bacillota; Clostridia; Lachnospirales; Lachnospiraceae
Description: partial 16S ribosomal RNA
Rfam family: Bacterial small subunit ribosomal RNA
Source: RNAcentral